UACGAGAGGCCCAAACGUUAUUCGGAAUUAUUGGGCGUAAAGGGCGCGUAGGCGGCUUCGCAAGUGGAAGGUGAAAUCCCUCGGCUUAACCGAGGAACUGCCCUCCAAACUGCGUGGCUUGAGACCGGGAGAGGUGAGUGGAAUUCCCAGUGUAGCGGUGAAAUGCGUAGAUAUCGGGAGGAACACCUGUGGCGAAAGCGGCUCACUGGACCACAACUGACGCUGAGGCGCGAAAGCUAGGGGAGCAAACGGG
This 253-nucleotide ribosomal RNA is filed under the name uncultured bacterium. Its description in RNAcentral is "partial 16S ribosomal RNA". It matches the Rfam family "Bacterial small subunit ribosomal RNA", at positions 524 to 776 of the family's 1533-position model. The record is from RNAcentral.